AGCAGGCGCGAAGAUUCCGCAAUGCCCGAAAGGGCGACGGAGUGAACCCGAGUGCCACCCGCUGAGGGUGGCUGUUCCCCUGUGUAAAAAGCAGGGGGCAGGAAGGGGAGGGCAAGGCUGGUGGCAGCCGCCGCGGUAAAACCAGCUCCCCGAGGGGUUCCCACGCAUACUGGGCCUAAAGCGUCCGUAGCCGGCCCUGUAAGUCCGCAGUUAAAUCCGCCUGUAGACAGGCGGGCUGCUGCGGAUACUACAGGGCUAGGGAGCGGGAGGAGCCGGGGGUAUUCCCGGGGGAGCGGUAAAAUGCGUAGAUCCCGGGAGGACCACCAGUGGCGAAGGCGCCCGGCUUGAACGCGUCCGACGGUGAGGGACGAAAGCUGGGGGAGCAAACCGGAUUAGAUACCCGGGUAGUCCCAGCCGUAAACGAUGCCGGCUAGGUGCUGGCCAAGGUUUCGACCUUGGCCAGUGUCGAAGCGAAGGCAUUAAGCCGGCCGCCUGAGGAGUACGGCCGCAAGGCUGAAACUUGAAGGAAUUGACGGGGGGGCACCACAAGGGGUGAAUGCCUGCGGCUUAAUUGGACUCAACGCCGGGAAUCUUACCGGGGGCGACAGCAGGAUGAAGGUCAGGCUGAAGACCUUACCAGACGCGCUGAGGGGUGGUGCAUGGCCGUCGCCAGCUCGUGCCGUGAGGUGUCCUGUUAAGUCAGGCAACGAGCGAGACCCCCGCCCCUAGUUGCCAGCGGCCUCCUUCGGGAGGGACCGGGCAAACUAGGGGGACCGCCUCCGAAGAGGAGGAGGAAGGUGGGGGCUACGGCAGGUCAGUAUGCCCCUAAUCCCCCGGGCCGCACGCGGGCUGCAAUGGGCGGGACAGCGGGAUGCGACCCCGAGAGGGGGAGCUAAUCCCUCAAACCCGCUCGUAGUUGGGAUCGAGGGCUGCAACUCGCCCUCGUGAACCCGGAAUCCCUAGUAACCGCGGUUCUCCAUACCGCGGUGAAUACGUCCCUGCCCCUUGUACACACCGCCCGUCAACUCACCCGAGUGGAGCUGGGGCAAGGUUCCAGCUCCAAAAGAGCUGGAAUCGAGCCUUGGCUCCGCGAGGGGGGGUAAGUCGUAACAAGGUGGC
Molecule: ribosomal RNA, 1119 nt
Filed under: uncultured korarchaeote
Lineage: Archaea; Thermoproteati; Thermoproteota
Description: bacterial SSU rRNA
Rfam family: Archaeal small subunit ribosomal RNA
Source: RNAcentral